This 254-nucleotide ribosomal RNA is filed under the name uncultured bacterium. RNAcentral describes it as "partial 16S ribosomal RNA". It matches the Rfam family "Bacterial small subunit ribosomal RNA", at positions 79 to 334 of the family's 1533-position model. The record is from RNAcentral.
CUUUCUUUGCUGGCGACCGGCGCACGGGUGAGUAACACGUAUCCAACCUGCCCUUUACUCGGGGAUAGCCUUUCGAAAGAAAGAUUAAUACCCGAUAGCAUAAUGAUUCCGCAUGGUUUCAUUAUUAAAGGAUUCCGGUAAAGGAUGGGGAUGCGUUCCAUUAGGUUGUUGGUGAGGUAACGGCUCACCAAGCCUUCGAUGGAUAGGGGUUCUGAGAGGGAGGUCCCCCACAUUGGAACUGAGACACGGACCAA